AACAGGAUUCCCUUAGUAAUGGCGAAUGAACAGGGAUGAGCUCAGCAUGGAAAUCGGGGUCUCCCGACCUUGAAUUGUAGUCUGUAGAUGUACUGCCAACGGAGGCGCAGAUGUAAGCCUCUUGGAAAAGAGCAUCAACGAGGGUGAGAGUCCCGUUUGUCAUCUGCAGUCCCCCGUGCACGGUGUGCCUUCUAAGAGUCACGUUCCUCGGGAUUGGAGCGCAAAGUGGGUGGUAAAUUUCAUCUAAAGCUAAAUAUUGGUUCGAGACCGAUAGCAAACAAGUACCAUGAGGGAAAGGUGAAAAGGACUUUGAAAAGAGAGUUAAAAGUGCCUGAAAUUGCUGAAAGGGAAGCGAAUGGAACCAGUGUUCUUGAUGAGAUUGUUGCGUACUCUGGUGAUUGCUGGGUGUUCCACCGCAAGGGGGGCAUCUAGUUUUGAGCUAGAUGUGCGUGGUGUUUCUUGUCUUGUGUGUCACCGUCGGUGCACGAGCGAGUAAACCUCCAGGGGGCUGGUAACUCGACCACGGUUGAGUGAAUACCUUUGGCAGUACUCAUUUGUGUAUCGAUCCCUGCGUGUCUGGUUGCAGUGUUUGGGUCGCCUGGAAACUCCUGAAGGGCUUGUCCUCGAAGGAGUCCUUUUGGGCGCCCUGAGCAUCUCCCUGACACAAAGACGAUGAC
RNAcentral lists this ribosomal RNA (677 nucleotides) under Azadinium spinosum. RNAcentral describes it as "partial large subunit ribosomal RNA". It matches the Rfam family "Eukaryotic large subunit ribosomal RNA", at positions 68 to 630 of the family's 3401-position model. Lineage: Eukaryota; Dinophyceae; Gonyaulacales; Amphidomataceae. The record is from RNAcentral.